Molecule: ribosomal RNA, 497 nt
Filed under: uncultured bacterium
Lineage: Bacteria
Description: partial 16S ribosomal RNA
Rfam family: Bacterial small subunit ribosomal RNA
Source: RNAcentral
GAUGAACGCUGGCGGCGUGCCUAAUACAUGUAAGUCGAGCGAACAGACGAGGAGCUUGCUCCUCUGACGUUAGCGGCGGACGGGUGAGUAACACGUGGAUAACCUACCUAUAAUACUGGGAUAACUUCGGGAAACCGGAUCUAAUACCGGAUAAUAUAUUGAACCGCAUGGUUCAAUAGUGAAAGACGGUUUUGCUGUCACUUAUAGAUGGUUCCGCGCCGCAUUAGCUAGUUGGUAAGGUAACGGCUUACCAAGGCAACGAUGCGUAGCCGACCUGAGAGGGUGAUCGGCCACACUGGAACUGAGACACGGUCCAGACUCCUACGGGAGGCAGCAGUAGGGAAUCUUCCGCAAUGGGCGAAAGCCUGACGGAGCAACGCCGCGUGAGUGAUGAAGGUCUUCGGAUCGUAAAACUCUGUUAUUAGGGAAGAACAAAUGUGUAAGUAACUAUGCACGUCUUGACGGUACCUAAUCAGAAAGCCACGGCUAACUACGUG